RNAcentral lists this long non-coding RNA (230 nucleotides) under Trifolium pratense (red clover). Its description in RNAcentral is "long non-coding RNA (TPRA_LNC005374)". The record is from RNAcentral. Lineage: Eukaryota; Viridiplantae; Streptophyta; Magnoliopsida; Fabales; Fabaceae.
GGAAAGACCAUAAUUAAAGAUUGGAGCAAUUGUGUUUAUCUUCCCAAGGUAUGUGCUCAGACCUGCAAGUGAUGGUUAGGUUAAAGUAUAUCUUCUUAAUGGUUCUUUUGAAAAAUUGCAAAUGCAGGUGCAAGAUUAAAAAGGAUCACCUAUGUGAGCAUGAAGUUUUGCCGCUUCAAGAAGCUUGGACUUGGCUUCCUAUAUGCUUAUUAAUGGAUAAGGACACAUGG